CUACAGAAGACUUUCAAAAAGUUCCGUAACUAACACAUUUAAGAUUCUUACCUAUGUUUUCCUGCCUCCCCAGGCACUGACGUGGCUGCAGAAGCACUGACAUGCUUCUCAUUCAGUGUACACACACAGAGGUCUGUACUGGCGUGUGUGCAGCCUGAAGGCUAGUCCCUGUUCUUCCUCUAUUCGCCUUCUAAUCCUCGGACUGGUCAUUUCCCUCAGCCUCAGUUUCCUCUUCUGCUUAAAGGGGAGGGGGGAAGUAGACGAGUUGAUGUCUGAGGUCCCUUCUAGUGCGGACAUUGAGAUUCGUUGAGCAGGAGCUGGAGGAUUAAGGCAGGGGCUGAUGUUAGAUCUGUUCAGGCACCUGAUGACAAGAGAGAACCAAACAGAGCAGGAGUUGGGAGGCUGUCUUCGUAGAGGCAAAGGGAAGAAUUUGCAGAUGAUUUGGGGCAACCAGUGUGCUAACAUCCCAGUGCUGUCUUAGAGUCUCCACGUGUGCCACUCUGGGAUCACUUUCCCAUCAUCUCCCUCCUGUUCUACACCCAGGAUCCCAGGAGGAUGACUGCAACAGCAGGCCCUCUAUGGGCCAGCUUCCUGUUGGUUUCAGCCAACGAGAGAUGCUGGAAGGAAAUCUCAGGGAGAAGGGAGAGUGAAGCUGGGGUAUUUAUUCUCUCCAUCCCACCUUCCCUCCCAGGUCACCAAGGAUUGGCUACAUCCUCUGUUGAGGACAACAGCCCCCUAGAAUUAAUGGCCUAGGAUAUCACCUUUAUCCCUUUUCCUAAACCCUGCCCUUGUCUUUGUAACAGUCUUUUCUUUAAACCCUAUUCCCAUUUCCCAUGUUGAGUGUGUCUUCUGUUGCUGUUGGGACCCAUUGAUGCAGGCUGUCCAGCAGCCUCACUUUUGGGAUUUCCUCUCUCCCAGCCUCAUUCAUUGCUCUCCAAAGUUUACUUUUAUUGAAUUUUGUAUCUAUUUUACUGUGUCCCCUGCUCUCUUAAUUUCUGUAAAUUCUGUGCACAUUGCUAUAGAGUGGGGCACCCCUCUGGCUCACGCUACAGUAGAACAGAGAAGAAUGAAAAUUCCACUCCAUGUCCAAUUUGAGUGCCUCAUGCACAUUCAGAUGGAGUUUCCCAGCAAACAGAGAUGCCAGCAAGAUGACUGGAAUGUUCUGAAGGGACUAGUACAGAGGAUGACCAGGGAAGACAAUUUCCAGGAGAGUGAAGACAUCAAUCUACAAAUUCAAGCAAUAAAAGAUGUCUCCAUGCUGAAGGAGCAUGUGGUCUGGUGGGGAAGAUGCACAUAG
Bos indicus x Bos taurus (hybrid cattle) is the source of this 1297-nucleotide long non-coding RNA. The record is from Ensembl. Lineage: Eukaryota; Metazoa; Chordata; Mammalia; Artiodactyla; Bovidae.